Molecule: ribosomal RNA, 1351 nt
Filed under: metagenome
Description: bacterial LSU rRNA
Rfam family: Bacterial large subunit ribosomal RNA
Source: RNAcentral
CAAGGGCGGUAGUGACUGAGCCCAUACUUCCAAGAAAAGCCUCUAGUUAGACCUGCGUGACCGUACCGCAAACCGACACAGGUGGAUGGGUAGAGAAUACCAAGGGGAUCGGGAGAAUCUCUGUUAAGGAAUUAGGCAAAUUAGAUCCGUAACUUCGGGAAAAGGAUCGCCCCAUUAGCGUGACGACGACAAGCUUGUCUGAGCGUGAAAGGGCCGCAGAGAAAUGGCUCUAGCGACUGGUUACCAGAACCACAGGUCUGUGCUAAGUCGAAAGACGACGUAUACGGGCUGACGCCUGCCCAGUGCCGGAAGGUUAAGGGGAGCGGUGCAAGCUGCGAACUGAAGCCCCGGUGAACGGCGGCCGUAACUAUAACGGUCCUAAGGUAGCGAAAUUCCUUGUCGGGUAAGUUCCGACCCGCACGAAUGGCGUAACGACUGGAGCACUGUCUCAACAGAGAACCCGGUGAAACUGAAUUAGGAGUGAAGAUGCUUCUUACCCGCAGCUGGACAAAAAGACCCCGUGGAGCUUUACUGUAGCUUGACAUUGGGUUAGAACUUAGGUUGUGUAGGAUAGGUGGGAGACUGUGAAGCUGGGCCGCCAGGCUCGGUGGAGUCGUCGGUGAAAUACCACUCUGCUUAAGUUUUGGCUCUAACCUUUGCCGUAAUCCGGUGAGGAAACAGUGUCAGGUGGGCAGUUUGACUGGGGCGGUCGCCUCCUAAAGAGUAACGGAGGCGCGCAAAGGUUCCCUCAGGCUGAAUGGAAACCAGUCGUAGAGUGCAAACGCAUAAGGGAGCUUGACUGCGAGACGGACAGGUCGAGCAGAGACGAAAGUCGGCGUUAGUGAUCCUAUGGCACCGAGUGGAAGGGCCAUGGCUCAACGGAUAAAAGCUACCCCGGGGAUAACAGGCUAGUCUUCCCCAAGAGUUCACAUCGACGGGGAGGUUCGGCACCUCGAUGUCGGCUCGUCACAUCCUGGGGCUGGAGUAGGUCCCAAGGGUUGGGCUGUUCGCCCAUUAAAGUGGUACCGAGCUGGGUUCAGACCGUCGUGAGACAGGUCGGUCUCUAUCCGCUGUGGGCGUAAGGGAAUUGAGGAGAGCUGCCCCUAGUACGAGAGGACCGGGGUGGACGGAUCUCUGGUGUGCCAGUUGUGCUGCCAAGUGCAUGGCUGGGUAGCUAAGUCCGGAAUGGAUAACCGCUGAAAGCAUCUAAGUGGGAAGCCAGCUCCAAGAUAAGUUCCCUCACAGGGUUAACCUGGUAAGUGCGCAGGAAGACCACCUGCUUGAUAGGCGGCAAGUGUACAGGCUGAGAGGCCUUUAGCUAAGCCGUACUAAUGCACGAGGGCUUAAAACA